Long non-coding RNA from Xiphophorus hellerii (green swordtail), 244 nucleotides. RefSeq lists it as uncharacterized. The record is from RefSeq and is a predicted model, not a curated record. NCBI's taxonomy places the organism in Eukaryota, Metazoa, Chordata, Actinopteri, Cyprinodontiformes, Poeciliidae. The transcript has 3 exons.
CUGUUCAGGUUUGGUACCAGUCUGGUUCUACUGCGGUUCUGUUGGGUCUCCGUUUGUUGUUCAGAUGUUCUUCUUCAGCUGUUUGGAUCAUUUGAACAAACUUUAAGGUGUGGCGCCAGUCUGGUUCUGUUGGGUCUCAGUUUGUUGAUCACAUAUUCUUGUUCAACUCUUUGGAUCGUCUGAACAAACUGUGAAGGUAGAAAGUGUGUGUGAGCUGAUGUGAAUUCAGCAGCAUGGAUCAGUG